RNAcentral lists this unclassified non-coding RNA (221 nucleotides) under uncultured Tomentella. Its description in RNAcentral is "sequence contains ITS2". RNAcentral also lists the same sequence under 1 other name. Lineage: Eukaryota; Fungi; Basidiomycota; Agaricomycetes; Thelephorales; Thelephoraceae. The record is from RNAcentral.
ACACCUCAACUCUCAUGGCUUGCCAUGAUGAGCUUGGAAUUUGGGGGUUUUGCUGGCCUGUGUGGUCAGCUCCUCUUAAACAAAUCAGCUUGCUAGCGUUUGGUGGCAUUGUGGGUGUGAUAACUAUCUACACCCAUGGUCGUUUGCCAGGUAACCUUCAGCAGUGGAGGUUCGCUGGAGCUCAUAAAUGUCUCUCCUCAGUGUGAGACAGCAUUUUGAAC